RNAcentral lists this ribosomal RNA (438 nucleotides) under uncultured bacterium. RNAcentral's name for it is "bacterial SSU rRNA". It matches the Rfam family "Bacterial small subunit ribosomal RNA", at positions 959 to 1398 of the family's 1533-position model. The record is from RNAcentral.
ACGCGAAGAACCUUACCAAGGCUUGACAUGCACCGGGCAGCUGCAGAGAUGUGGCUUUCUUUGGACUGGUGUACAGGUGGUGCAUGGUUGUCGUCAGCUCGUGUCGUGAGAUGUUGGGUUAAGUCCCGCAACGAGCGCAACCCUCGUUCUAUGUUGCCAGCGCGUUAUGGCGGGGACUCAUAGGAGACUGCCGGGGUCAACUCGGAGGAAGGUGGGGGCGACGUCAAAUCAUCAUGCCCCUUAUGUCUUGGGCUUCACGCAUGCUACAAUGGUCGGUACAAAGGGUUGCGAAACUGUGAGGUGGAGCGAAUCCCAAAAAGCCGGUCCCAGUUCGGAUUGUAGUCUGCAACUCGACUACAUGAAGUCGGAGUCGCUAGUAAUCGCAGAUCAGCAACGCUGCGGUGAAUACGUUCCCGGGCCUUGUACACACCGAAGGGC